RNAcentral lists this long non-coding RNA (775 nucleotides) under Equus asinus (donkey). RNAcentral's name for it is "lncRNA (ENSEASG00005027529.1)". Lineage: Eukaryota; Metazoa; Chordata; Mammalia; Perissodactyla; Equidae. The record is from RNAcentral.
CAAUUGGUCAAUGCAAGGCACGUGCUCAGUGUUCCCCUUUGCCAGUCUUGAUUGGGCCGUCCGGGGCACGUGACCAGUGGGCCCAGCAUGCCCCGCGCGCGCGUGCGCCCUGGUGUAAGGCGGGAACGCAGGCGCGGGAGGCCCCGCCGUGUGGGUCCUGGGGCGCGUGGCACUGGUCAGGCCCCGGGUGCCGCCCGCCUCCCCAGGGCGCCCCGUGGUCCGCGGAGCCGCUCUGGGCGCGCCGAGGACGGGAGGAGCGCCGGCUUCCAGAAGCUGGGCGUCGAGGUCUCUGCAGACCACCUGGAGCUUGCAGCAGGGGUGGGCUGCGAGGGCACCCCCGCGCCCCGGGCCUCUGGAAGAAGGAGGGGCUGCCCCUGUCGGCACUGCCUGUGCCCAGGAAACAGCAGUGCAGAGAGGAGGCAGAGCUCCUGUCCCGUGGGGCUUAUCUUCCAGAGCAAAAUGUGAAAAUAUCCAUCCUGCUGACUUUGAUAAGCAAUACCGACAAGCACCACCGGGGGACGACACAGCACAAGGGGAAGUGGGUGUGACAGCUCAGGGCUCUCGGCCAGAACGUCCUCGCUCUUUCCAUGGAAAUUCUCAAAUACAUUGUGUAUUUUAACUAAAGGAAAAUACUGAAAGUGAUAUAGUAGAGAGCACUUUUUAUGGAAAAUUAAUUGAUAACACAAUCUUAUUUCAACUUUCUUUUUAUUUUUAACUGAAAUGACUGUGUAUAUUCCACAGUCUUAUGAUGAGAAAGGCUCCAGAAUCACGUCCA